AUUGUUGCAAACCCUAGCAGUAGAGUGAAACACUCUGCCGCCUCUGUCCACUCACUCCUUCUCCUCCGUUUUCUCAACCCGUUCUCCUCCGUCCUAUUCCUCCACCGCCGUCGAACUCAAAGUUUACAAGUCUUCUGUGGAUUUGGCUAACAUUUUGAUCGAUCGAUUUUAUUCUUCAGAUCUACAUGGUUUACAAGUCUUCUUUGGAUUUGGCUAACAUUUUGAUCGAUCGAUUUUAUUCUUCAGAUCUACAUGGUUUACAAGUCUUCUAUGGAUUUGGCUAACAUUUUGAUCGAUCGGUUUUAUUCUUCAGAUCUACAUGGUUUGGUGAAAAUUAUAAUUUCUUUUGUGCUUGUGAAGGUAUGUUUGGUUCUGUUGUUAGCUAAGAGAAUUGAUCCACAUAUUUAUCUUCAGAUCCAAAUGAUAUAUCAUAAUAUCUCGAUCUUAUAAUAUGUCCCUCCUAUUGAUUUUUGGUUUUUGUUAUUUAUUGAUCCAAG
This is a long non-coding RNA of Trifolium pratense (red clover), 497 nucleotides long. RefSeq lists it as uncharacterized. The record is from RefSeq and is a predicted model, not a curated record. NCBI's taxonomy places the organism in Eukaryota, Viridiplantae, Streptophyta, Magnoliopsida, Fabales, Fabaceae. The transcript has 5 exons.